AUCCAGCCGACGAGUCCCAAAUAGGACGAAACGCGCGUCCUGGAC
This 45-nucleotide non-coding RNA is filed under the name Schistosoma japonicum. The record is from RNAcentral. Lineage: Eukaryota; Metazoa; Platyhelminthes; Trematoda; Strigeidida; Schistosomatidae.